Long non-coding RNA from Loxodonta africana (African savanna elephant), 592 nucleotides. RefSeq lists it as uncharacterized. The transcript is spliced from 3 exons. The record is from RefSeq and is a predicted model, not a curated record. Lineage: Eukaryota; Metazoa; Chordata; Mammalia; Proboscidea; Elephantidae.
UCAAACUUACCUUCCUUGAAAUACAGUAGCGCAAAUGCCACUAAUUAUAAAUUCGACAUACUUGAAAGAGAAAUACAGUCAAAAGGAUACAUGCUUAUGGGGACUGAUAGCAAAAGAGACUCAGUGGGGACGAUUCAGCCUGCCUUACAGCUCUGCCUUAGAAAGUGGGAACAACAAAAUCUGUUGCUGAAGAACGCAGUUCUUUCAGCAACAAUGACUUAGCAAGCACGAAGGAAUGGGAAAUGACGAAAAUGUCUGUUCGCUGAUGAUAUCGUGAAAAUGCUCUUUACAGUCAUACUGGCCCUGGAAAGGAGAUCUGGAAAUCAGGCAGAACCGGUUUUACGCUGAGAUCUCAUAUCUACAAGGCCUUUCUUUAAGUGGUGUCAAACCAGUCCCAGUUGCAAAGAUGAUGAGUCCACUCUCACCGGCUGACCCAAGGUUGCUGACUGUGCGUCCUCUCCAGCAAGCCAGACACUGUGUAUUCUCUCAUCGCCGUGGUGCUCCUUGAAAAGGGUAGAUACCCCACCGGAACAUGUGCUAUGAGGUACACCUGGAAGAAGAAACACAAGGACUAGUGAGAAUUGUUCUGCAC